GACACAAAGUUUUGGUCCUGAACUUACUGUUACUUUUAGCCAAAAUUAUACAUGCAAGUAUCUGCACACCAGUGAAAAUGCCCAUCAAAACAUAGGAGCAGGUAUCAGGCACGACCAUCAGCCCAAGACACCUUGUUUUACCACACCCCCACGGGUAAUCAGCAGUAAUAAAAAUUAAGACAUAAGCGAUUAGUACCAAACAAAGCUAGACUUAGUUACGGCUACCAAGGGCCGGUCAACCUCGUGCCAGCCACCGCGGUUAUACGGGGGGCCCAAAAUAACAGACUACGGCGUAAAUAGUGACUAAAAUCUUAACUAAAUUAUAAGAAACAAACAAACCCCUAAGCGUAAAACCAAGGGCUAACGAAAACCAGCUUCUUAAAAAAAGGACAUUUGACCCACGAAAGCUAGGAAACAAACUAGGAUUAGAUACCCUACUAUGCCUAGCCAUAAAUUGGCACCAAAAACUACCAGUGCUCGCCAGAAUAUUACGGGCGAAAAGCCUAAAACUCAAAAGACUUGGCGGUGCUUCAAAUACGACUUAGAGGAGCCUGUCCUACAAUCGAUAACCCACGAUAAACCCAACCGCCUUUCGCCAAAAAUCAGCCUAUAUACCGCCGUCCUCAACUUACACUGUGAAGUAAAAAUAGUAGGUGUAAAAGCUAAACACAAAAAAGUCAGGUCAAGGUGUAGCUUAUAGGGCGGCAGAGAUGGGCUACAUUUUUUAAAAUAAAACAUCACGACAAGACGCCUUGAAACCAGGCCUCUGAAGGAGGAUUUAACAGUAAAAAAAGCAAGAAAACUUUUUUAAAACUCGCUCUGAAGCGCGCACACACCGCCCGUCACCCUCUUCAACAAACAAUAACAAAUUCUUAAUUAGAACAACAAAACUAAGACGAGGUAAGUCGUAACAUGGUAAGCGCACUGGAAAGUGUGCUUGGACUAACAAAAAGUAGCUUAAAACAAAGCAUUCAGCUUACAAUUGAACGAUGCUAGAGCCUAUUUGCGCCAAUAAUUAAACCUAGCCACAAAAACAAAUACACAACACAAAAAACAAACCAUUUGACAAGUUCAGUAGAGGAGAUCGAAC
This 1090-nucleotide non-coding RNA is filed under the name Anolis roquet. Its description in RNAcentral is "partial contains 12S small subunit ribosomal RNA, tRNA-Val, and 16S large subunit ribosomal RNA". The stretch from base 1 to 953 matches the Rfam family "Bacterial small subunit ribosomal RNA". The record is from RNAcentral. Lineage: Eukaryota; Metazoa; Chordata; Lepidosauria; Squamata; Anolidae.